GUGACCAAAUUGAACAGGCCCAUUGUUAUUUAAAGGAGAAGGGCCUAUUUUUGAAGGGCCUUUUUCCAAUGGAUCCAGCUGAAAACAUUUAUACAACAGCAGAGACGGGCAGAGAAAAGCAGAGGUGCUGACAGAUGCAGACACCAUAUGAGCAUAAACGAAAUUCACCAUCUAGAUGCUCCAAAUCAUUCACCUACUUCUACCAGUAUCUAAUAGCAUCUCAGAUCGCUGGGAAUUAAGAUGUUGCAAUUAUUUGAUGACCCAGAUGAGGAGAAGAGACAGAGGAAUCAACUUCCACUGAGUGAGUAAAAAUCCAUAAAUUUGUAUUUCAGAGUUUUCCCUAGUUGCAACAAUAGCAGGUUUUUCACAACGAAUCAAAAAGGUUCAGAAGAACAGAAAUAAAGAGGGC
Molecule: long non-coding RNA, 409 nt
Organism: Lagopus muta (rock ptarmigan)
Lineage: Eukaryota; Metazoa; Chordata; Aves; Galliformes; Phasianidae
Exons: 3
Source: RefSeq, a predicted model, not a curated record